UUUAUGGAGAGUUUGAUCCUGGCUCAGGAUGAACGCUGGCGGCGUGCCUAAUACAUGCAAGUCGAGCGAACGGACGAGAAGCUUGCUUCUCUGAUGUUAGCGGCGGACGGGUGAGUAACACGUGGAUAACCUACCUAUAAGACUGGGAUAACUUCGGGAAACCGGAGCUAAUACCGGAUAAUAUUUUGAACCGCAUGGUUCAAAAGUGAAAGACGGUCUUGCUGUCACUUAUAGAUGGAUCCGCGCUGCAUUAGCUAGUUGGUAAGGUAACGGCUUACCAAGGCAACGAUGCAUAGCCGACCUGAGAGGGUGAUCGGCCACACUGGAACUGAGACACGGUCCAGACUCCUACGGGAGGCAGCAGUAGGGAAUCUUCCGCAAUGGGCGAAAGCCUGACGGAGCAACGCCGCGUGAGUGAUGAAGGUCUUCGGAUCGUAAAACUCUGUUAUUAGGGAAGAACAUAUGUGUAAGUAACUGUGCACAUCUUGACGGUACCUAAUCAGAAAGCCACGGCUAACUACGUGCCAGCAGCCGCGGUAAUACGUAGGUGGCAAGCGUUAUCCGGAAUUAUUGGGCGUAAAGCGCGCGUAGGCGGUUUUUUAAGUCUGAUGUGAAAGCCCACGGCUCAACCGUGGAGGGUCAUUGGAAACUGGAAAACUUGAGUGCAGAAGAGGAAAGUGGAAUUCCAUGUGUAGCGGUGAAAUGCGCAGAGAUAUGGAGGAACACCAGUGGCGAAGGCGACUUUCUGGUCUGUAACUGACGCUGAUGUGCGAAAGCGUGGGGAUCAAACAGGAUUAGAUACCCUGGUAGUCCACGCCGUAAACGAUGAGUGCUAAGUGUUAGGGGGUUUCCGCCCCUUAGUGCUGCAGCUAACGCAUUAAGCACUCCGCCUGGGGAGUACGACCGCAAGGUUGAAACUCAAAGGAAUUGACGGGGACCCGCACAAGCGGUGGAGCAUGUGGUUUAAUUCGAAGCAACGCGAAGAACCUUACCAAAUCUUGACAUCCUUUGACAACUCUAGAGAUAGAGCUUUCCCCUUCGGGGGACAAAGUGACAGGUGGUGCAUGGUUGUCGUCAGCUCGUGUCGUGAGAUGUUGGGUUAAG
RNAcentral lists this ribosomal RNA (1104 nucleotides) under Staphylococcus aureus. Its description in RNAcentral is "bacterial SSU rRNA". It matches the Rfam family "Bacterial small subunit ribosomal RNA", at positions 1 to 1084 of the family's 1533-position model. Lineage: Bacteria; Bacillati; Bacillota; Bacilli; Caryophanales; Staphylococcaceae. The record is from RNAcentral.